AGCUUGCUACCUGACCUAGCGGCGGACGGGUGAGUAAUGCUUAGGAAUCUGCCUAUUAGUGGGGGACAACAUUCCGAAAGGAAUGCUAAUACCGCAUACGCCCUACGGGGGAAAGCAGGGGAUCUUCGGACCUUGCGCUAAUAGAUGAGCCUAAGUCAGAUUAGCUAGUUGGUGGGGUAAAGGCCUACCAAGGCGACGAUCUGUAGCGGGUCUGAGAGGAUGAUCCGCCACACUGGGACUGAGACACGGCCCAGACUCCUACGGGAGGCAGCAGUGGGGAAUAUUGGACAAUGUGCGAAAGCCUGAUCCAGCCAUGCCGCGUGUGUGAAGAAGGCCUUUUGGUUGUAAAGCACUUUAAGCGAGGAGGAGGCUACUUAGAUUAAUACUCUAGGAUAGUGGACGUUACUCGCAGAAUAAGCACCGGCUAACUCUGUGCCAGCAGCCGCGGUAAUACAGAGGGUGCGAGCGUUAAUCGGAUUUACUGGGCGUAAAGCGUGCGUAGGCGGCUUCUUAAGUCGGAUGUGAAAUCCCUGAGCUUAACUUAGGAAUUGCAUUCGAUACUGGGAAGCUAGAGUAUGGGAGAGGAUGGUAGAAUUCCAGGUGUAGCGGUGAAAUGCGUAGAGAUCUGGAGGAAUACCGAUGGCGAAGGCAGCCAUCUGGCCUAAUACUGACGCUGAGGUACGAAAGCAUGGGGAGCAAACAGGAUUAGAUACCCUGGUAGUCCAUGCCGUAAACGAUGUCUACUAGCUGUUGGGGCCUUUGAGGCUUUAGUGGCGCAGCUAACGCGAUAAGUAGACCGCCUGGGGAGUACGGUCGCAAGACUAAAACUCAAAUGAAUUGACGGGGGCCCGCACAAGCGGUGGAGCAUGUGGUUUAAUUCGAUGCAACGCGAAGAACCUUACCUGGUCUUGACAUAGUAAGAACUUUCCAGAGAUGGAUUGGUGCCUUCGGGAACUUACAUACAGGUGCUGCAUGGCUGUCGUCAGCUCGUGUCGUGAGAUGUUGGGUUAAGUCCCGCAACGAGCGCAACCCUUUUCCUUAUUUGCCAGCGGGUUAAGCCGGGAACUUUAAGGAUACUGCCAGUGACAAACUGGAGGAAGGCGGGGACGACGUCAAGUCAUCAUGGCCCUUACGACCAGGGCUACACACGUGCUACAAUGGUCGGUACAAAGGGUUGCUACCUAGCGAUAGGAUGCUAAUCUCAAAAAGCCGAUCGUAGUCCGGAUUGGAGUCUGCAACUC
This 1241-nucleotide ribosomal RNA is filed under the name uncultured Acinetobacter sp. RNAcentral's name for it is "bacterial SSU rRNA". It matches the Rfam family "Bacterial small subunit ribosomal RNA", at positions 77 to 1313 of the family's 1533-position model. The record is from RNAcentral. Lineage: Bacteria; Pseudomonadati; Pseudomonadota; Gammaproteobacteria; Moraxellales; Moraxellaceae.